GGCUCUUUAUAGAUUUAGGGCUAUGAAGCGAGCAGGCGCUCCCGACGAUGCCGCCGCUGCUGCUGCCAAGCGCGGCCGCCAAGAGACGGAGGUGAGGAGGGACUGCCCCUACCUUGACACAGUGAAUCGCCAGGUUCUGGACUUUGAUUUCGAGAAGUUUUGCUCGGUUUCUCUCUCGAAUCUCAAUGUCUACGCCUGCCUGGUGUGUGGGAAGUACUUCCAAGGCCGGGGAAGGAAGUCUCAUGCGUACACGCAUAGCCUGGAAGCCGGCCAUCAUGUGUUUAUCAACUUGCACAGUGAGAAGGUCUACUGCCUUCCCGAUGGCUACGAGGUGGAUGAUCCAUCGCUGGACGACAUUCGCCAUGUCUUAAAUCCCAGGUUUACGGGCGCUCAAGUUUCGCAGCUCGAUAAAAGCAAGCAGUGGGCGAGAGCUCUCGAUGGCUCCGACUAUCUACCUGGAAUGGUGGGGCUUAACAAUAUCAAGGAGACGGACUUUGUCAACGUUAUAAUACAGUCGCUCAUGCGGGUGACUCCGCUCCGGGACUUUUUCCUGAUACCAGAGAACUACAGGCAUUCCAGUUCUCCUCUUGUCCAUCGCUUUGGGGAGCUCACGAGGAAGAUAUGGCAUGCCAGGAACUUCAAAGGACAGGUCAGUCCCCACGAGUUUCUUCAGGCGAUCAUGUCUGCCAGCAAGAAGAAGUUCCGUAUAGGUGUGCAGUCUGAUCCCGUGGAAUUCUUCUCCUGGCUUCUGAAUACGCUGCACAGCGAACUGGGUGGUACAACACUGCGCAACAGUAGCAUCAUCUACCAAUGUUUCCAGGGCGAGCUAGAAGUGUUGAAGGAAUUGCAGUCCGACCCGAAUAACCGAGAGAUUAGCAGGCUGCCAUUUCUGAUGCUUGGACUCGAUCUACCCCCACCUCCACUUUUUAAAGAUGUCAUGGAGAAAAACAUCAUCCCACAGGUUCCUCUUUUCAACAUCUUGAAAAAGUUCGAUGGUGAAACGCCGACUGAGGUGGUGAGGCCACAGCCAGCACGAAUGCGUUAUCGUGUAACGAGGUUGCCGAGGUAUUUGAUCUUACACAUGAGGCGCUUCAAGAAGAAUAACUUCUUCAUUGAAAAGAAUCCAACACUGGUGAACUUCCCGGUGAAAAAUCUGGAGCUGAAAGACUACAUCCCACUGGGUUCCGCUGAUGGCAGCAAGAAAGCCCGCUCAAAGUACGAUCUCAUUGCCAACACCGUCCACGAUGGCAAGCCCAGGGAAGGCUCUUACCGCGUGUUUGUGCAGAGGAAAUCGGAAGAAGUAUGGUACGAGAUGCAAGACCUUCACGUGACAGAAACUCUGCCGCAGAUGGUUGCGCUCUCUGAGGCGUAUAUGCAGAUCUACGAGCAGCAGCAAUAACCAAGCCGAUCUUGGUACGUGCUCAAGAUUUAACUUUGGUUUUUUUUUAUUCUUUCUUUACGUCUCCCGGUUUGAUUCAACGCUCUUCGCUUUCACAGUGCAUAGUAAUUCCCGUUUUGCUGCUGCUAUAGUGGACUGGACAUGACUGAGAGUUCCCUCUUGACGUUUAGUACCUUAAUACUCAUAUACCUUGAUAUCGCAAUCGCUGGCCCGCUGGAGGCAAUGGUAGUGAUCAGCAAGGACGAGUGUCAAAAUCGAAUAGAAUUACCACCAUCGCUUUC
This is an RNA transcript of Selaginella moellendorffii, 1680 nucleotides long. It is a transcript of the gene named U4/U6.U5 tri-snRNP-associated protein 2, with no coding region annotated. The transcript is spliced from 10 exons. Lineage: Eukaryota; Viridiplantae; Streptophyta; Lycopodiopsida; Selaginellales; Selaginellaceae. The record is from RefSeq and is a predicted model, not a curated record.